RNAcentral lists this transfer RNA (72 nucleotides) under Pangasianodon gigas (Mekong giant catfish). RNAcentral's name for it is "tRNA-Glu". It matches the Rfam family "tRNA". From Rfam's summary of the family: Transfer RNA (tRNA) molecules are approximately 80 nucleotides in length. Their secondary structure includes four short double-helical elements and three loops (D, anti-codon, and T loops). Lineage: Eukaryota; Metazoa; Chordata; Actinopteri; Siluriformes; Pangasiidae. The record is from RNAcentral.
UCCCUGGAGGACUAGUGGUUAGGCCACAACGUCCUCACUUCUGUGGCCCGGGUUCGAUUCCUGGCCAGGGAA